AGAUUAAGUUAUUAAGGGCGCACGGUGGAUGCCUUGGCACUAGAAGCCGAUGAAGGACGUUACUAACGACGAUAUGCUUUGGGGAGCUGUAAGUAAGCUUUGAUCCAGAGAUUUCCGAAUGGGGAAACCCAGCAUGAGUUAUGUCAUGUUAUCGAUAUGUGAAUACAUAGCAUAUCAGAAGGCACACCCGGAGAACUGAAACAUCUUAGUACCCGGAGGAAGAGAAAGAAAAUUCGAUUCCCUUAGUAGCGGCGAGCGAAACGGGAAGAGCCCAAACCAACAAGCUUGCUUGUUGGGGUUGUAGGACACUCUAUACGGAGUUACAAAGGACGACAUUAGACGAAUCAUCUGGAAAGAUGAAUCAAAGAAGGUAAUAAUCCUGUAGUCGAAAAUGUUGUCUCUCUUGAGUGGAUCCUGAGUACGACGGAGCACGUGAAAUUCCGUCGGAAUCUGGGAGGACCAUCUCCUAAGGCUAAAUACUCUCUAGUGACCGAUAGUGAACCAGUACCGUGAGGGAAAGGUGAAAAGCACCCCGGAAGGGGAGUGAAAUAGAACCUGAAACCGUGUGCUUACAAGUAGUCAGAGCCCGUUAAUGGGUGAUGGCGUGCCUUUUGUAGAAUGAACCGGCGAGUUACGAUUUGAUGCAAGGUUAAGCAGUAAAUGUGGAGCCGUAGCGAAAGCGAGUCUGAAUAGGGCGUUUAGUAUUUGGUCGUAGACCCGAAACCAGGUGAUCUACCCUUGGUCAGGUUGAAGUUCAGGUAACACUGAAUGGAGGACCGAACCGACUUACGUUGAAAAGUGAGCGGAUGAACUGAGGGUAGCGGAGAAAUUCCAAUCGAACCUGGAGAUAGCUGGUUCUCUCCGAAAUAGCUUUAGGGCUAGCCUCAAGUGAUGAUUAUUGGAGGUAGAGCACUGUUUGGACGAGGGGCCCCUCUCGGGUUACCGAAUUCAGACAAACUCCGAAUGCCAAUUAAUUUAACUUGGGAGUCAGAACAUGGGUGAUAAGGUCCGUGUUCGAAAGGGAAACAGCCCAGACCACCAGCUAAGGUCCCAAAAUAUAUGUUAAGUGGAAAAGGAUGUGGCGUUGCCCAGACAACUAGGAUGUUGGCUUAGAAGCAGCCAUCAUUUAAAGAGUGCGUAAUAGCUCACUAGUCGAGUGACACUGCGCCGAAAAUGUACCGGGGCUAAACAUAUUACCGAAGCUGUGGAUUGUCCUUUGGACAAUGGUAGGAGAGCGUUCUAAGGGCGUUGAAGCAUGAUCGUAAGGACAUGUGGAGCGCUUAGAAGUGAGAAUGCCGGUGUGAGUAGCGAAAGACGGGUGAGAAUCCCGUCCACCGAUUGACUAAGGUUUCCAGAGGAAGGCUCGUCCGCUCUGGGUUAGUCGGGUCCUAAGCUGAGGCCGACAGGCGUAGGCGAUGGAUAACAGGUUGAUAUUCCUGUACCACCUAUAAUCGUUUUAAUCGAUGGGGGGACGCAGUAGGAUAGGCGAAGCGUGCGAUUGGAUUGCACGUCUAAGCAGUAAGGCUGAGUAUUAGGCAAAUCCGGUACUCAUUAAGGCUGAGCUGUGAUGGGGAGAAGACAUUGUGUCUUCGAGUCGUUGAUUUCACACUGCCGAGAAAAGCCUCUAGAUAGAAAAUAGGUGCCCGUACCGCAAACCGACACAGGUAGUCAAGAUGAGAAUUCUAAGGUGAGCGAGCGAACUCUCGUUAAGGAACUCGGCAAAAUGACCCCGUAACUUCGGGAGAAGGGGUGCUCUUUAGGGUUAACGCCCAGAAGAGCCGCAGUGAAUAGGCCCAAGCGACUGUUUAUCAAAAACACAGGUCUCUGCUAAACCGUAAGGUGAUGUAUAGGGGCUGACGCCUGCCCGGUGCUGGAAGGUUAAGAGGAGUGGUUAGCUUCUGCGAAGCUACGAAUCGAAGCCCCAGUAAACGGCGGCCGUAACUAUAACGGUCCUAAGGUAGCGAAAUUCCUUGUCGGGUAAGUUCCGACCCGCACGAAAGGCGUAACGAUUUGGGCACUGUCUCAACGAGAGACUCGGUGAAAUCAUAGUACCUGUGAAGAUGCAGGUUACCCGCGACAGGACGGAAAGACCCCGUGGAGCUUUACUGUAGCCUGAUAUUGAAAUUCGGCACAGCUUGUACAGGAUAGGUAGGAGCCUUUGAAACGUGAGCGCUAGCUUACGUGGAGGCGCUGGUGGGAUACUACCCUAGCUGUGUUGGCUUUCUAACCCGCACCACUUAUCGUGGUGGGAGACAGUGUCAGGCGGGCAGUUUGACUGGGGCGGUCGCCUCCUAAAAGGUAACGGAGGCGCUCAAAGGUUCCCUCAGAAUGGUUGGAAAUCAUUCAUAGAGUGUAAAGGCAUAAGGGAGCUUGACUGCGAGACCUACAAGUCGAGCAGGGUCGAAAGACGGACUUAGUGAUCCGGUGGUUCCGCAUGGAAGGGCCAUCGCUCAACGGAUAAAAGCUACCCCGGGGAUAACAGGCUUAUCUCCCCCAAGAGUUCACAUCGACGGGGAGGUUUGGCACCUCGAUGUCGGCUCAUCGCAUCCUGGGGCUGUAGUCGGUCCCAAGGGUUGGGCUGUUCGCCCAUUAAAGCGGUACGCGAGCUGGGUUCAGAACGUCGUGAGACAGUUCGGUCCCUAUCCGUCGUGGGCGUAGGAAAUUUGAGAGGAGCUGUCCUUAGUACGAGAGGACCGGGAUGGACAUACCUCUGGUGUACCAGUUGUCGUGCCAACGGCAUAGCUGGGUAGCUAUGUGUGGACGGGAUAAGUGCUGAAAGCAUCUAAGCAUGAAGCCCCCCUCAAGAUGAGAUUUCCCAACUUCGGUUAUAAGAUCCCUCAAAGAUGAUGAGGUUAAUAGGUUCGAGGUGGAAGCAUGGUGACAUGUGGAGCUGACGAAUACUAAUCGAUCGAAGACUUAAUCAAAUU
Molecule: ribosomal RNA, 2927 nt
Filed under: Staphylococcus aureus
Lineage: Bacteria; Bacillati; Bacillota; Bacilli; Caryophanales; Staphylococcaceae
Also listed under: 1 other name
Description: bacterial LSU rRNA
Rfam family: Bacterial large subunit ribosomal RNA
Source: RNAcentral